RNAcentral lists this long non-coding RNA (940 nucleotides) under Rattus norvegicus (Norway rat). RNAcentral's name for it is "long non-coding RNA NONRATT002428". The record is from RNAcentral. Lineage: Eukaryota; Metazoa; Chordata; Mammalia; Rodentia; Muridae.
GCUUUGCAGCAUAUAGCCCAGGAUUUCCUUAGGUAAUUUCUAGAAAAGUCUAGGUAAUGCUGUAGGCAGUGAAAGCAGUGGCCACUAUUCUGCUCUGUCUCUCCUGUUUGAGAAGCAUUGGAAUGAGGCCCAGCCUGGACCCUUAGGGGGAAAAACGGACACAGAAUUUACAAACACGGAGGCAUGUAUUUAGUUACCUCUUUUUUCUUCUUUCAUGAUUUGUGCUUUCGAGACAGGAUCUCACUUUGUAGCUCAGGUUGGCCUUAAGCUCCCCAUCCUCCUGCCUGCACCUCUCUAGUCCUGGAAUAUCACGUGUGAGUCGCCACCUGGCAGGGGUCGUGGUAGUUAGGUACUAAAAUGCUCCUUUACAGAUGCAAACCAAUAGGGAUAUGUUCAAAGCGUGAAUCCCCCACAUAACCUGCAGAGGGGCAACAAUGUCAGGCAGUGCACAGACUGGAAAAAGGGGGUCCAGGCAGGCACAGGUCAGGAAGAUACCUAGCAAUGAUCUGACUUGAGGACCGGACCCCUCCAGGUCACAAUACCCUUUUCUUUCAGCUCACCUGUUCUUCUGGACCAGCCCUGCUCGAAGGCUGGGGCUCAGAACCAGGCCCCAAGAGGCCAGGCCCCAAUCUGCCCCAGUCCCAGAAAAGUUACUCCAUCACCCAUCCCCCUCCCCUGGCCUGCUGGGGCCUGGCUUUGGGGCAAGAUUGAGCCACAGGGGAAAGGGGACCCCAUACCUGCUGCUGCUUCCUCUGUCUUGGCUAACUCUAGUCCCCCUCCCCGAGCCCCUAACCAUACCUGAAGAACUCCCAAAGCUUGAGACCAGGGCCAAUUGGCCCCAACGUCCUGCCUGGCCCCGCUGUUGCAAGUCUGUGUUAUUUAUUACCUGGAGGCCUGUUCCAUCCUGUCCCAGUCCUCCAUAAAGCAUUGUUUACACCUG